Molecule: transfer RNA, 65 nt
Filed under: Dipodomys ordii (Ord's kangaroo rat)
Lineage: Eukaryota; Metazoa; Chordata; Mammalia; Rodentia; Heteromyidae
Rfam family: tRNA
About the family: Transfer RNA (tRNA) molecules are approximately 80 nucleotides in length. Their secondary structure includes four short double-helical elements and three loops (D, anti-codon, and T loops).
Source: Rfam by way of RNAcentral
GGUGGCUUAGUGGUAGAGUGCUUGCCUAGCAUGCAUGACGCCCUGGGUUCAAUUCCUUGAUACCA